Molecule: ribosomal RNA, 247 nt
Filed under: uncultured bacterium
Lineage: Bacteria
Description: partial 16S ribosomal RNA
Rfam family: Bacterial small subunit ribosomal RNA
Source: RNAcentral
GGGGCAAGCGUUGUUCGGAAUCACUGGGCGUAAAGGGCGCGUAGGCGGGAUGGCAAGUCAGUCGUGAAAUCUCUCGGCUCAACCGAGAAACGUCGGCUGAUACUGCCGUUCUUGAGGGAUGCAGAGGAGACUGGAAUUCCCGGUGUAGCGGUGAAAUGUGUAGAGAUCGGGAGGAACACCGGUGGCGAAGGCGGGUCUCUGGGCAUUUUCCUGACGCUGAGGCGCGAAAGCGUGGGGAGCAAACGGG